GAUGAACGCUAGCGGCAGGCCUAAUACAUGCCAGUCGAGGGGUAUGGGUUGCUUGCAACCCAGAGACCGGCGCACGGGUGCGUAACGCGUAUGCAAUCUACCUUAAUCAGGGGGAUAGCCCGGAGAAAUCCGGAUUAACACCGCAUAACAUUGAGUUGUGGCAUCACAGUUCAAUCAAAUAUUUAUAGGAUUAAGAUGAGCAUGCGUGACAUUAGUUAGUUGGUGAGGUAACGGCUCACCAAGACCACGAUGUCUAGGGGAUCUGAGAGGAUGACCCCCCACACUGGUACUGAGACACGGACCAGACUCCUACGGGAGGCAGCAGUAAGGAAUAUUGGUCAAUGGGCGCAAGCCUGAACCAGCCAUGCCGCGUGCAGGAAGACGGCCCUAUGGGUUGUAAACUGCUUUUGUACCGGAAUAAACCUUCUCUUGCGAGAGAAGCUGAACGUACGGUAAGAAUAAGGAUCGGCUAACUCCGU
RNAcentral lists this ribosomal RNA (479 nucleotides) under uncultured bacterium. RNAcentral's name for it is "partial 16S ribosomal RNA". It matches the Rfam family "Bacterial small subunit ribosomal RNA", at positions 28 to 506 of the family's 1533-position model. The record is from RNAcentral.